AUUGAACGCUGCGGCAGGCGCUAACACAUGAAGUCGAGCCGGAUGAAGGGAUGCUUGCUCCUGGAUUCAGGCGCGGACGGUUGAGUAAUGCCUAGGAAUCUGCCUGGUAGUGGGGGACAACAUUUUCGAAAGGAACGCUAAUACCGCAUACGUCCUACGGGACAAAGCAGGGGACCUUCGGGCUUUGCGCUAUCAGAUGAGCCUAGGUCGGAUUAGCUAGUUGGUGAGGUAAUGGCUCACCAAGGCGACGAUCCGUAACUGGUCUGAGAGGAAGAUCAGUCAGACUGGAACUCAGACACGGUCCAGACUCCUACGGGAGGCAGCAGUGGGGAAUAUUGGACAAUGGGCGAAACCCAGAUCCACCCAUGCCGCAUGUGUGAAGUAGGUCUUCGCAUUGUAAAGAUUUUUAAGUGGGAGGAAGGGUUGUAGAUUAAUACUCUGCAAUUUUGACGUUACCGACAGAAUAAGCACCGGCUAACUCGCGGCCAGCAGCCGCGGUAAUACAGAGGGUGCAAGCGUUAAUCGGAAUUACUGGGCGUAAGCGGCGCGUAGGUGGUUCGUUAAGUUGGAUGUGAAAUCGGCGGGCUCAACCUGGGAACUGAAAACUGGCGAGCUAGAGUAUGGUAGAGGGUGGUGGAAUUUCCUGUGUAGCGGUGUAAUGCGUAGAUAUAGGAAGGAACACCAGUGGCGAAGGCGACCACCUGGACUGAUACUGACACUGAGGUGCGAAAGCGUGGGGAGCAAACUUGAUUAGAUACCCUGGUAGUCCACGCCGUAAACGAUGUCUUCUAGCCGUUGGGAGCCUUGAGCUCUUAGUGGCGCAGCUAACGCAUUAAAGUUGACCGCCUGGGGAGUACGGCCGCAAGGUUAAAACUCAAUGAAUUGACGGGGGCCCGAUGCCACAAGCGGUGGAGCAUGUGGUUUAAUUCGAAGCAACGCGAAGAACCUUACCAGGCCUUGACAUCCAAUGAACUUUCCAGAGAUGGAUUGGUGCCUUCGGGAACAUUGAGACAGGUGCUGCAUGGCUGUCGUCAGCUCGUGUCGUGAGAUGUUGGGUUAAGUCCCGUAACAAGCGCAACCUCCUUAGUUACCAGCAGGUAAUGGUGAGCACUCUAAGGAGACUGCCAGUGACAAACCGGAGGAAGGAGGGGAUGACGUCAAGUCAUCAUGGCCCUUACGGCCUGGGCUACACACGUAUACAAUGGUCGGUACAAAGGGUUGCCAAGCCGCGAGGUGGAGCUAAUACCAUAAAACCAUUAUCGUAGUCCGGAUCGCAGUCUGCAACUCGACUGCGUGAUGUCGGAAUCCCUAGUAAUCCCGAAUCAGAAUGUCGCGGUGAAUACGUUCGCGGGCCUUGUACACACCGCCCGUCACACCGCGGGAGUGGGUUGCACCAGUCUAACCUUCAAGUAGCUAGGGGAGGACGGUUACCACGGUGUGAUUCAUAUACUGGGGUGAAGUCGUAACAAGGUAGCCGU
This 1478-nucleotide ribosomal RNA is filed under the name Pseudomonas fluorescens. Its description in RNAcentral is "16S ribosomal RNA". It matches the Rfam family "Bacterial small subunit ribosomal RNA". Lineage: Bacteria; Pseudomonadati; Pseudomonadota; Gammaproteobacteria; Pseudomonadales; Pseudomonadaceae. The record is from RNAcentral.